Molecule: ribosomal RNA, 482 nt
Filed under: uncultured bacterium
Lineage: Bacteria
Description: partial 16S ribosomal RNA
Rfam family: Bacterial small subunit ribosomal RNA
Source: RNAcentral
AUUGAACGCUGGCGGCAUGCUUUACACAUGCAGGUCGAACGGUAACAGCACUUCGGUGGCUGACGAGUGGCGAACGGGUGCGUAAUACAUCGGAACGUGCCUAGUAGUGGGGGAUAACUACUCGCAAGAGUAGCUAAUACCGCAUGAGAUCUAAGGAUGAAAGCAGGGGACCUUCGGGCCUUGCGCUACUAGAGCGGCUGAUGGCAGAUUAGGUAGUUGGUGGGAUAAAAGCUUACCAAGCCGACGAUCUGUAGCUGGUCUGAGAGGACGACCAGCCACACUGGGACUGAGACACGGCCCAGACUCCUACGGGAGGCAGCAGUGGGGAAUUUUGGACAAUGGGCGCAAGCCUGAUCCAGCAAUGCCGCGUGCAGGAUGAAGGCCUUCGGGUUGUAAACUGCUUUUGUACGGAACGAAAAGCCCUCUUCUAAUACAGGAGGGUCAUGACGGUACCGUAAGAAUAAGCACCGGCUAACUACGUG